CGAAAGCCUGAUGGAGCAACGCCGCGUGAGUGAAGUAAGGUUUUCGGAUCGUAAAGCUCUGUUGUUGGUGAAGAAGGAUAGAGGUAGUAACUCGGCCCCUUAUUUGACGGUAAUCAACCAGAAAGUCACGGCUAACUACGUGCC
RNAcentral lists this ribosomal RNA (144 nucleotides) under uncultured bacterium. RNAcentral's name for it is "partial 16S ribosomal RNA". It matches the Rfam family "Bacterial small subunit ribosomal RNA", at positions 376 to 509 of the family's 1533-position model. The record is from RNAcentral.